UUCUGUUUGGACUCAAGAUGUUUUGGACAGAACGAUGCGCAUCAGCCACCGACCAAGGGAAGUCCGAUAGGUGGCAGGUAAAGGCACUAAUCAGAACUUGCGAAAGCACGAUAAAACCGCCCUGUUGUAGCUGCUAGACGGGGACAAGCGGAAAAGGAAUAACUGAUUAGUGUUGUGUGACUCGGAUGGGGGGCGAAAGCCUUUACACACAGCGCAGGG
This is a non-coding RNA of Vibrio diabolicus E0666, 219 nucleotides long. Lineage: Bacteria; Pseudomonadati; Pseudomonadota; Gammaproteobacteria; Vibrionales; Vibrionaceae. The record is from Rfam.